AGCAGCCGCGGUAAUUCCAGCUCCAAUAGCGUAUAUUAAAGUUGUUGCAGUUAAAAAGCUCGUAGUUGAAUUUCGGGAUCGAAUUGUUGGUCGUGCUUCGGUACGCACUGGCAUUAUCGGUUCCUACCUUCUGAAGAACCGCGAUGUCAUUAAUUUGGUGUCGUGGGGAAUCAGGACUGUUACUUUGAAAAAAUUAGAGUGUCUAAAGCAGGCUUACGCUUGAAUACAUUAGCAUGGAAUAAUGAAAUAGGACGUUUGAUUCUAUUUUGUUGGUUUCUAGGAUCGACGUAAUGAUUAAUAGGGAUAGUUGGGGGCAUUAGUAUUCAAUUGUCAGAGGUGAAAUUCUUGGAUUUAUUGAAGACUAACUACUGCGAAAGCAUUUGCCAAGGAUGUUUUCAUUAAUCAAGAACGAAAGUUAGGGGAUCGAAGACGAUCAGAUACCGUCGUAGUCUUAACCAUAAACUAUGCCGACUAGGGAUCGGAUGAUGUUAAUUUAAUGACUCA
Molecule: ribosomal RNA, 504 nt
Filed under: uncultured Glomus
Lineage: Eukaryota; Fungi; Glomeromycota; Glomeromycetes; Glomerales; Glomeraceae
Description: SSU rRNA
Rfam family: Eukaryotic small subunit ribosomal RNA
Source: RNAcentral